Molecule: ribosomal RNA, 253 nt
Filed under: uncultured bacterium
Lineage: Bacteria
Description: partial 16S ribosomal RNA
Rfam family: Bacterial small subunit ribosomal RNA
Source: RNAcentral
UACAGAGGGCUCAAGCGUUGCUCGGAUUCAUUGGGCGUAAAGGGCGCGUAGGCUGCGGGGCAAGUCGGGUGUGAAAUCUCAGAGCUCAACUCUGAAACUGCACUCGAUACUGCUUUGCUUGAGGACUGGAGAGGAGAUUGGAAUUCACGGUGUAGCAGUGAAAUGCGUAGAUAUCGUGAGGAAGACCAGUGGCGAAGGCGGAUCUCUGGACAGUUCCUGACGCUGAGGCGCGAAGGCCAGGGGAGCAAACGGG